RNAcentral lists this signal recognition particle RNA (231 nucleotides) under bovine gut metagenome. Its description in RNAcentral is "Bacterial large signal recognition particle RNA". It matches the Rfam family "Bacterial large signal recognition particle RNA", at positions 1 to 227 of the family's 256-position model. From Rfam's summary of the family: The signal recognition particle (SRP) is a universally conserved ribonucleoprotein involved in the co-translational targeting of proteins to membranes. Archaeal SRP consists of a 7S RNA and homologues of the eukaryotic SRP19 and SRP54 proteins. The record is from RNAcentral.
GUGCAACCGGGGAGUUAGCGGUGCCCUGUUGCCUGCAAUCCGCUAUAGCAGGGGUGAUGGCAUGUGUCGGGCUUGCCUACGAGGAGCAGCCCGAAGUUUGGCGGCGUUGAUGUUUGGGUCUUACGCAAUGGAAAUCUGUGAACCGUGUCAGGGCAGGAAUGCAGCAGCACUAAGCGGAAUCUUUCAUGUGCCGUGAGGAAGCCUGGGCUGAGCCGUCUUCUUCGGUAACGU